This 433-nucleotide ribosomal RNA is filed under the name uncultured bacterium. Its description in RNAcentral is "partial 16S ribosomal RNA". It matches the Rfam family "Bacterial small subunit ribosomal RNA", at positions 29 to 507 of the family's 1533-position model. The record is from RNAcentral.
AACGAACGCUGGCGGCAUGCCUAACACAUGCAAGUCGAACGAGACCUUCGGGUCUAGUGGCGCACGGGUGCGUAACGCGUGGGAAUCUGCCCUUGGGUUCGGAAUAACUCGCCGAAAGGCGUGCUAAUACCGGAUGAUGACGUAAGUCCAAAGAUUUAUCGCCCAAGGAUGAGCCCGCGUUGGAUUAGCUAGUUGGUGAGGUAAAGGCUCACCAAGGCGACGAUCCAUAGCUGGUCUGAGAGGAUGAUCAGCCACACUGGGACUGCGACACGGCCCAGACUCCUACGGGAGGCAGCAGUGGGGAAUAUUGGACAAUGGGCGAAAGCCUGAUCCAGCCAUGCCGCGUGAGUGAUGAAGGCCUUAGGGUUGUAAAGCUCUUUUACCCGGGAUGAUAAUGACCGUACCGGGAGAAUAAGCACCGGCUAACUCCGUG